GCUAAAAAUAAAGCCCUCAAAAAACCAAUGAGCCUAUUUAACUUUCUCUUUAAACCAAAACAUUUUUAAAAUUUAGUAAAGGCGAUUAAAAAAUUUACAGGAGCAAUAAGGUACCGCAAGGGAAUAAUGAAAUAAAAAUGAAACAAAUAUUAAGCACAAAACAGUAAAGAUUCACCCUUGUACCUUUUGCAUCAUGGUUUAACAAGUCUAACCAAGCAUAAUGAUUUAUAGUUUGACCCCCCGAAACUAAGUGAGCUACUUCAAAGCAGCUUAUUGAGCAAACCCGUCUCUGUUGCAAAAGAGUGGGAAGACUUUCAAGUAGAGGUGAUAAGCCUAACGAACUUAGUGAUAGCUGGUUAUUCAAAAAAAGGAUUUUAGUCCAACCUAAAGUUUUUAUUAAUCCCAUAAAAUAACAAUACAACUUUAGAGCAAUUCAAAUAAGGUACAGCCUAUUUGAAAAAGGAUACAACCUCAAACAAUGGGUAACAUUUUAACUAUAUAAAUAAGUGGGCCUAAAAGCAGCCACCUUUCAGAUAGCCUUAAAGCUCCUCUAUAUUAGCCUUCCAAUUCCACCAAACAAUUAAAACCCUUCAUUAUUAUUGAAUAAUUCUAUACCAGUAUAGAACUUAUAAUGUUAAAACUAGUAACAAGAAGAAGACCUUCUCUUAAAUGCAAGUGUAAAUCAGAAAGGACACACCACUGAUGAUCAACACCAAUGAAACAAUAUUAGUAACCUAACAAGAAAAACCUAAUAAACUUUAUGUUAACCUAACACAAGAGCAUUAAAAGAAAGAUUUAAAGAAAAAGAAGGAACUCGGCAAAUAAUAACCCCGCCUGUUUACCAAAAACAUCGCCUUUUGAAUAACUAUAAAAGGUCCAGCCUGCCCAGUGAUUUUUUAACGGCCGCGGUAUCUUAACCGCGCGAAGGUAGCAUAAUCAAUUGUUCUUUAAAUGAGGACUUGUAUGAAUGGCAUCACGAAGGUUAUACUGUCUCCUUUUUUUGAUCAGUGAAACUAAUCUCCCCGUGAAAAAGCGGGGGUAAAAAUAUAAGACGAGAAGACCCUAUGGAGCUUUAAACUUAAUAACAAGUGCUUCUUUACACUACUUAUAAACAUUAACCUUUAUUUUGACACUAUGAUUAUUAGUUUUAGGUUGGGGUGACCGCGGAGCAAAAAUUAACCUCCACAUUGAACGGAGAUACUUCUGAGUCAAGAGCUACGACUCUAAACACCAACAAUUUGACAUUAAUUGAUCCAAUAUUUUGAUCAACGAACCAAGUUACCCUAGGGAUAACAGCGCAAUCCACUUCAAGAGAUCCUAUCAAAAAGUGGGCUUACGACCUCGAUGUUGGAUCAGGGUCCCCCAGUGGUGCAGCCGCUACUAAAGGUUCGUUUUUC
This 1397-nucleotide ribosomal RNA is filed under the name Phyllodytes punctatus. RNAcentral describes it as "partial 16S ribosomal RNA". It matches the Rfam family "Bacterial large subunit ribosomal RNA", at positions 130 to 2581 of the family's 2925-position model. Lineage: Eukaryota; Metazoa; Chordata; Amphibia; Anura; Hylidae. The record is from RNAcentral.